RNAcentral lists this ribosomal RNA (252 nucleotides) under uncultured bacterium. RNAcentral describes it as "partial 16S ribosomal RNA". It matches the Rfam family "Bacterial small subunit ribosomal RNA", at positions 524 to 776 of the family's 1533-position model. The record is from RNAcentral.
UACAGAGGUCCCGAGCGUUGUUCGGAUUCAUUGGGCGUAAAGGGUGCGUAGGCGGUCUUCUAAGUUUGAUGUGAAAUCCCGGGGCUCAACCCUGGAAUUGCAUUGAAUACUGGAGGACUAGAGUACCGGAGAGGAAACUGGAAUUUACGGUGUAGCAGUGAAAUGCGUAGAGAUCGUAAGGAAGACCAGUGGCGAAGGCGAGUUUCUGGACGGUAACUGACGCUGAGGCACGAAGGCCAGGGAGCAAACGGG